Molecule: long non-coding RNA, 825 nt
Organism: Nothoprocta perdicaria
Lineage: Eukaryota; Metazoa; Chordata; Aves; Tinamiformes; Tinamidae
Exons: 3
Source: RefSeq, a predicted model, not a curated record
UCUUUCAGGAUCAUCAAGUGCAAAAUUCAUGGAAGACAGCAAAUUUUAUUGUUGAUUGCAUUAUGGAUUGUUACUUUAUCCCUAACACAUGAUUUUACAUUCUCAAUAUGUGUGUUGGUCUCCCUUCUACCGUGUUAAACACAGAUGGGACUGUUCUGUGACCACAGCUCUUGGAGAGCUGCAAGAAAACUGCGAGAAACGAGCUACAGUGCAGGCAGCUAUAACUUCCAUCUGCAACAACAAUUUCCAAUAACAGAAUGACUGCUCUCCAUGUCACAAGGAUUUUCUGAAAGAGUCCAGUCCCUUAUAUAUGUGAACGAACUGGAGACAUCAGUCAGAGCUGCUGGAUGUUGCACCAAGAGACAGAGGGUGCUCUCUGAGGGACAGUAGGUCACGGGGCAUCUACCCAAGAAAGAAGGAAAGCACAAAGAGAGAACAGAGAGACAGAGACAGAGAGAAAGAGAGAAAGGGAAUUCAUUCUCUUCUAGCAUCUGGAUGAGUCCGUCUGGGUAUGGAGUGGCAGGGAAAAGAAAUGGAGCUUUGCAUUUAUCACAUGUCUACUUCUAACAUGACAGGUGUUGAGCGUUUUGAAGAAACCACUCUGCACCACUUGCCUUCUAASAGAACUGGGAAUAGCUGGAAGGGGUAAAGAGGGGCUCAAUACACAGCAGAUCUUUGUUUUAUGGCAGACUUGUCCUUUGUGACCUAUUGCCUUUGAUAUUUAGGCUUCCAGCACCUCGAAGAGCUAAGUCUUCUUUACUAUUUUAUUCUUCCGGUGUGGUUAGAAUUGUAGACAAGUUUCAUCUCAUUAAGUACAAAUUUUCC